CCUACGGGAGGCAGCAGUGAGGAAUAUUGGUCAAUGGGCGUAAGCCUGAACCAGCCAAGUCGCGUGAGGGAUGAAGGUUCUAUGGAUCGUAAAUCUCUUUUAUAAGGGAGUAAAGUGUGGGACGUGCCCUAUUUUGUAUGUACCCUAUGAAUAAGGAUCGGCUAACUCUGUGACAGAAGCCGCGGUAAUACGGAGGAUCCGAGCGUUAUCCGGAUUUAUUGGGUUUAAAGGGUGCGUAGGCGGCAUUGUAAUUCAGCGGUGAAAGUCUGUGGCUCAACCAGAGAAUUGCCUUUGAAACUGGGGGGCUUGAGUAUUGUAGAGGCAGGCGGAAUGCGUGGUGUAGCGGUGAAAUGCUUAGAUAUCACGCGGAACCCCGAUUGCGAAGGCAGCCUGCCAAGCCAUGACUGACGCUGAUGCACGAAAGCGUGGGGAUCAAACAGGAUUAGAUACCCUAGUAGUC
Molecule: ribosomal RNA, 460 nt
Filed under: uncultured bacterium
Lineage: Bacteria
Description: partial 16S ribosomal RNA
Rfam family: Bacterial small subunit ribosomal RNA
Source: RNAcentral